UACAGAGGUGGCAAGCGUUGUUCGGAAUCACUGGGCUUAAAGCGCGUGUAGGCGGGACGGAAGGUGUUUGGUGAAAUCCCCGGGCUCAACCCGGGAACUGCCGGGCAAACCAACGUCCUUGAGGCAGGUAGAGGUGGUCGGAACCUUAGGUGGAGCGGUGAAAUGCGUAGAUAUCUAAGGGAACGCCGGUGGCGAAAGCGGAUCACUGGGCCUGUCCUGACGCUGAGACGCGAAAGCGUAGGGAGCAAACGGG
Molecule: ribosomal RNA, 253 nt
Filed under: uncultured bacterium
Lineage: Bacteria
Description: partial 16S ribosomal RNA
Rfam family: Bacterial small subunit ribosomal RNA
Source: RNAcentral